GCAUUGGGGGCAGAAACUGGGAAGAGGCACAACAUUUGAAAUGUAAAUAAAUAAAAUAACCAAUAAAAAUGAAAAAAGAAAAAAAGAAAGUGAAUGUAUAAGAGUUUGGAAAGGACAUGCAUGAUUGUGGCAACCUUAAUUUAUAUGCCAUGCUUUACGUAGUAACUUUAAUUCACUAAUCUAUCAGGGCGGUUUCCCCUGCCUCAUUAGUUCUGUAAUGGUUCUAGUUCUAUCUUAGUCUUGAAGGAGUAAGUUUGAAGAGACAUUACCAAUGGGAUUACAGAAAGAAAGCUUCACCCAUGUUGAUACUGAUAGUAUCUGAGGAAGUUGCCAUGUGAUGUAGUAGCAUGUGAUGGUGAGAAGUGCCUGGGUGUUUUGGUGUUUUGGUGUUUUGGUGGUCUGUUAUACUGAUAGCAGGAAGGACAGUCAUUUUCAAGGAAUGAUGAGCACUCACAGAAUUUUUCAGAAAGCUAAGCUUCCUGCAAUUACUCACAUUGCCAAGUCUUGAAGCUGGGUUGCUACUAAAAUGCUGGUGGCUUUUCCAUUGUAGAAAUAGGAGUAAAUGGAUUUUAUUAGUGAAAUUGGUUAAUUCAUUGUCUUAGUUGGGGUUUCUAUUCCUGCACAAACAUCAUGGCCAAGAAGCAAGUUGAGGAGGAAAGGGUUUAUUCGGCUUACACUUCCAUACUGCUGUUCAUCACCAAAGAAGUCAGGACUGGAACUCAAGCAGGUCAGAAAGCAGGAGCUGAUGCAGAGGCCAUGGAGGGAUGUUCCUUACUGGCUUGCUUCCCCUGGCUUGCUCAGCCUGCUCUCUUAUAGAACCCAAGACUACCAGCCAAGAGAUGGUCCCACCCACAAGGGGCCUUUCCCCCUUGAUCACUAAUUGAGAAAAUGCCUUACAGUUGGAUCUCAUGGAUGCAUUUCCCCAACUGAAGCUCCUUUCUCUGUAAUAACUCCAGCUGUGUCAAGUUGACACAAAACUAGCCAGUACAUUCAUUUUAGCAUUUUGUCACUUGUGUGUGUGUGUGUGUGUGUGUGUGUGUGUGGUGUUCUCUCUGUGUGUAUGUGUCUGUGUGUGUGGUGUGGUGUUCUCUCUGUGUGUAUGUAUCUGUGUGUGUCUGUGUCUCUCUCUUUGUCUCUGUGUAUGUGUGUGCAUGUACAUGUGUGUGUGUGUGUGUGUGAGUGUGUGUGUGUGUGUGUGUGUGUGUACACAUGAAUGCAUGCAUAUGGAAUGCCACACUGCUAUGUAGUGGUCAGAGGACAAGCUUUCAGGUAUCAGUCUAACCUUUCAACUUGCUUGAGACAAGGUCUUUUUGGUGUUCACUGUUCUGUGCUCUCUGCCUUACAAGCUUUGAGGGAUUAACCUAUCCCUGCCUCUCACCCUUUCUGUACUGAACAGUAAGCACUCCAAGAGGUGAGUACUACUACGUCUAAACUUUCCUGACUUCUGAGAAUUAAAGUUCAGCCCUUUGUGCUUUAUAUAGUAAGCAUUUUACCCACUGAGACAUCUUCACAUGUUUGGAACUUUAUUAUCCACUUCUGAAGGUCAUUAAAUGUGUUGAAUUAUAUAUUUACAGUUUUCUUAGUGAUCAUAUGGAAACAUCACUGAAGAUUUUCUUCAUUUGAUUUUGCAUGAGAGUUAGAUUGCAGUAGUUGGGCUGGUAGCACAGGUCUGUUAUCACAGCAGUUUAGGCAGCUGGGAUAGGAGGAUGUGAGUUCAAGUCCUGCUUAGGAUAAAGAGUGGGUUCUAGUCCAGCCUGGCAGCUAAAUGGAUUGUUUCAAAAUGGAAAUAAAAAUGGAGGGCUUGGGAUUUAGUUUCAGGGUAGAAUCUUUACCCUAGCUCAUGCAAGGUCUAGAAUCAAUUUAAACAAUUACACAGAAAAAAGUUAGCAGAAUUUUAAAAAAAUGUAGAACAUAAUUUUGUUUGUUAUUUAUAAGAAAAUUAUCCUGAGUAAAAUUAUUGAUAAAUGUAAUUGCAUAUCUUAUGAUAGGCAAUGUAUCACUGUAUAUGUAUAGAACUCUCUACAAGAAAAUUAGGUAUAUGGUGGUUAGCAAGUUUGCUUAAGACAUGGUGAGGAAAAGCAUUAGUUGUUGAAUAUUUUCUUGUGAAACAGAUAUUCCAUUUUUGAGAGGAUGCUAAAAUAACAUUAAUAUAACAGGCAAAGUUACUUUGUUUUUAAGGCAACCACUUUUAGUUUUGAAUAUCUUUCUCUGGGUUUUAGUAGUAAUUACAAGAUUUGAAUGACAAAGGUGGAAUAACUUCUCAAGUUUGAAGCAGCUGCAGUUUGAUUAAAUGUCACUAGCCACCUUGUUUGUGGUUUCCAAGUUGAGUCUAGCCUUGCUACUGCUGUAGAGUAGCUGAGCUCCUGUUCCUUAAGAAAAUCUGUUCGAGGUGCCAAGGAAGUUUUCUUAAAUGUGAAGAACAGUGUCUUCCCUUGGAAUCAUGCUAUACCAUUAGAAACUUUGUAACCUUCUAUGGUGUGAUCUAACCCACCUGCUUCCAGAUCAUUAUCCUAGAAGUUGAGUAGUAAGGGAUUCCGGGAAUUUGAAACCCUAUUUAAGCCUUUUGAGGCAUUUUUAUUUCUUCUGUAAACACACACAGACACAAAGACUGCUGUUCUGUUUACUUCUAAAAAUCUUCCAUCAGGGGGAGCCAGGAAAAAAAGGGAGAGAAUCAGGUUUAGUUAAAAUUAUUCCAGAUUUUGAGAAUGAAGUGUGUGUAGCAGUUCUAGAGCUCUGCUAUCUUGAAGCAAUGGCUGCAUUAUCCUCAUGAGAAUUUCCUUAAUGGAAAGAGAGUAGGCAUACGCACACAAUCUGUGGAGGAUAAAAAUGCAGAAUUGUUGAAAGAUAUGGAUGCAAAUUAUCAAUCUAUCAAUUGAUUAGAGCACAGUCCAAUUCUAAUUACUCUGCAAAAGUAAUAGUGUCAAUUAAUAUAAUUUAUAUUAGGUCCAAGUGAGCUUGAGAGAAACUAAACCUUGCUCAGCGUUUAGCUAAGAGCUCUGAUUCCUUCCCAGUCAUCAACCACCCAUAUUCUGAUACCCACUUCCGCAGUGAAGGCUUGAGCUAAAGGAAUCUUCUGUGCAAAUAAAUAGUGCUUGUCUUCACCUUUAUCACCUUUGACUUAGAAAAUCUCUGGAGUGCCCAGUGUGUUUUGCUUCCUAGGAGAAUCAGGCUUGACCGGAUAUUUGUAAGGUAGCAAAGUCAGCCAAGAUACAAUGCAAUCUUACAUUUUUCACAGCAAUCUUGAUGGUUCAGAAGGAGAACCACACUGACAAUUGCCCACUUCUUAGUGAUUAUUGGCAUCAGUUAGUUUCCAGACAAAACAUAACACUUAUUGUGUAUAGAACAUUAGACCAAUUAGUGUAUCACUGUUUUGAAUGGCAGCCCCCAACACAUCCAGGGUGCUAGAUCAUUUUCAAAAGGCUCCUGCUGUCAGUGCAUUGAAAAUGUCAUGGUCAGUAGCUGGACAUGGUGGCACUCGCCUUUAAUCCCAGCACUCGGGAGGCAGAGGCAGGCAGAUUUCUGAGUUCAAGGCCAGCCUGGUCUACAAAGUUGAGUUCCAGGACAGCCACGGCUAUACAGAGAAACCCUGUCUCGAAAAACC
RNAcentral lists this long non-coding RNA (3601 nucleotides) under Mus musculus (house mouse). RNAcentral describes it as "long non-coding RNA chr6:21262019-21265620". Lineage: Eukaryota; Metazoa; Chordata; Mammalia; Rodentia; Muridae. The record is from RNAcentral.